This is a long non-coding RNA of Ipomoea nil (Japanese morning glory), 138 nucleotides long. RefSeq lists it as uncharacterized. The record is from RefSeq and is a predicted model, not a curated record. NCBI's taxonomy places the organism in Eukaryota, Viridiplantae, Streptophyta, Magnoliopsida, Solanales, Convolvulaceae. The transcript is spliced from 3 exons.
AAUAGUAAUAAGAGUAUGACUAGACUUCCUACUCAAAGCAUCAGCUACCACAUUUGCUUUCCCCUCAUGAUACUGGAUCUCCAAGUCGUAGUCCUUAAUCAACUCUAGUCACCGUCGUUGUCUCAUGUUCAACUCUUU